Molecule: long non-coding RNA, 2511 nt
Filed under: Homo sapiens (human)
Lineage: Eukaryota; Metazoa; Chordata; Mammalia; Primates; Hominidae
Description: HSALNT0033927
Source: RNAcentral
GUGAGAGGACAAGGAGUGUCCUGAGGUCUGGAUGAGAGCGCGAGUGUGAGAGGCUGAAGUCUCCCCAUUCCCUGAGACACAACAAUAUUGCAAUGAGGCCAAUCAAUAACCCUACAAUGGCCUCUAAGUGUUCAAGUAAAAGGAAAAGUCACCUGUUUCUCACUUUAAAUGAUCAAGAUUAGUGAGGAAGGCAUGUUGAAAGCAGAGACAGGCUAAAAGCUAGGCCCCUUCUGCCAAACAGUUGGCCAAAGUUUCCAUGGUCUGGAUAGAAGAUCAAACCCGUCACAACAUUCCCUUAGGCCGAAGCCUAAUCUGGAGAAAGGCCCUAAUUCUUCUCAAUUCUAUGAAGGCCGUGAGAGGUGAGGAAGCCGCAGAACAAAAGUCAGAAACUAGCAGAGGUUGGUUCAUGAGAUUUAAGGAAAGAAGCCAUCUUCACAACAUAAAAGGGCAAGGUGAAGCAGCAACUGCUGAUGGAGAAGCUGCAGCGAGUUAUCUAGAAUAUCUAGCUAAGAUCAUUGAUGAAGGUGGCUACGCUAAACAACCGAUUUUCAGUGUAGAUGAAAGAGUCUUUCAUUAACAGAAGAUGUUAGCUUGGACUUUCACAGCUAAAGAGAAGUCAAUGCCUGGCUUCAAAGUUUCAAAGAGCAGGUUGAUUCUCCUGCUAGGGGCUAAUGCAGCUGGUGACUUUAAGUUAAGGUGAAUGCUCAUUUUACCAUUCCAAAAAUCCUAGGGCCCUUAAGAAUUAUGCCAAAUCUACUCUGCCUGUGCUCUAUAAAUGGAACAACAAAGGCUGGAUGACAGCACAUCUGUGUAUAGCAUAGUUCCCUGAAUAUUUUAAGCCCGCUGUUGAUAACUACUACCCAGAAGAAAAAGAUUUCUUUCAAAAUAUUGCCACACAUUGACAAUGUACCUAGUCAACCAAGAACUCUGAUGGAGAUGAACAAGGAGAUGAAUGUUGUUUCCUUUUUCUUUUCUUUUUUUUUUUUUUUUUUUGAGACGGAGUCUCCCUCUGUCGCCCAGGCUGGAGUGCAGUGGCGCGGUCUCGGCUCACUGCCACCUUUGCCUCCCAGGUUCACGCCAUUCUCCUUCCUCAGCCUCCUGAGUAGCUGGGACUACAGGCGCCCACCACCAUGCCUAGCUAAUUUUUUGUAUUUUUAGUAGAGACGGGGUUUCACCGUGUUAGCCAGGAUUGUCAAAUGAAUAUUGUUUUCAUGCCUGCUAACACAACAUCCAUUCUGCAGCCCAUGGGUUAAGUAGUAAUUUAGACUUUCAAGCUUUAUUAUUUAAGACAUGUAUUUUGUAAGGCGAUAGCUGCCAUAGGCAGUGAUUCCUUUGAUGAAUCUUGGCAAAAUAAAUUGAAAACCUUCUGGAAAGGAUUCGCCAUUUCAGAUGUCAUUUUAAGAACAUUCAUGAUUCCUAAGAGAAGGUCAAAAUAUCAACAUCAGCAGGAUUUUGGAAGAAGUUGAUUCCAACUCUCACGGAUUACUUUGAAGAGUUCAAGACUUCAGUGGAGGAAAUAAUUGCAGAUGUGGUGGAAAUAUCAAGGAAAUAGAGUUAGAAGUAAAACCUGAAGAUGUGGCUGAAUUGCUGAAAUCUCAUGAUCAAACUUGAAUUCAUGAGGAGUAGCUUCUUAUGGAUGAGCAAAGAAAGUGGUGUCUUGACUGGUUUCUGGUGAAGAUGCUGUGAACAUUGUUAAAAUGACAACAAAGCAUUUAGAAUAUUCCAUCAACCAAGUUAAUAAAGCAGUGGCAGGAUUUGACUCCAAUUUUGAAAGAAGUUCUACUGUGAGUAAAAUGCUAUGAAAUAGCAUUGCCUGCUACAGAGAAGUCUCUGGUGAAAGGAAGAGUCAAUUGAUGUGGUACACUUCAUUGUUGUCUUAUUUUAAGCAAUUGUAGCAGCCACCCCCACCUUCAGCAACCACCACCCUCAUCAGUCAGCAGCCGUCAACAUGGGGCGAGACCUUCCAUCAGCAAAAAGAUUGUGACUCCCUGAAGAAUCAGAUGAUCGUUAGAAUCUUUUAGCAAUAAGUAUUUUAAAAUUAAGGUAUGACAUUGUUGCUCUAGACAUAAUGCUAUUGCACACUUAAUGGGCUACAGAAUAGUGUAAACCUAACUUUUAUAUGCACUGGGAAACCAAAAUAUUCGUGAGUUUCUUUAUUGUGAUAUGCACUUUAUUGCAGUAACCUGGAAGCAAACCUGCAAUAUCUCGAAGGUGUGCCUGUAUAUUUCCGUGUUUAUCAUUAUCUGUUUGAUGUUUGUCUGUUCUCCAGACUAUAAGCUCCUUCCAUGAGUACAGGACCUGGCACCUACAAGGGGCCUAAUAAAUAGCUGUGGAAUGACUGAAUGAACAAAUGAUGGGGUAUGGCCUCUUCCAGGCAGCCUUCUCUGUGGCCCUCUCCUGCCAGGGUGGAGGUGAGCACUCAGCCCACAGCCAGCCUGUCCCCUGCUGGGCCGCGUGUGGCCACCUUCUGCCCUGAGCCUGGCUUCUCCUCUCUGCAGCUCCAGCACAUAC